This 381-nucleotide ribosomal RNA is filed under the name uncultured eukaryote. RNAcentral describes it as "SSU rRNA". It matches the Rfam family "Eukaryotic small subunit ribosomal RNA", at positions 587 to 972 of the family's 1831-position model. The record is from RNAcentral.
AGCUCCAAUGACGUAUAUUAAAGCUAUUGCAGUUAAAACGCUAGUAGGUGAAUUUCUGAUAGGGGGGAUCUGUCCAGAAAAUAUUGUUUGAAGUGGAUCAUUUCCGGUCAACCUCGGGUUCAUCUUGUCUGGUAUUCAGUUAUCAGUCAGGGAAUGCCCAUCAUUCACUGUGAAAAAUUAAAGUGUUUAAAAAGGCUUAUGUCAUUGAAUAUAUUAGCAUGGAAUUAUAAGACAAAGUAAUUGUGCUACUUUGUUGGUUUGCGUACUAAGGUAAUGAUUAAUAGGUUCAGUUCAAGAUAUUUGUAUUCAGUAUUCAGUCGUGAGAUACUUAAACCUACAGAAGAUAAUCCACUGCAAAAGCAUUUAAUAACGAUAUUUUCA